RNAcentral lists this ribosomal RNA (253 nucleotides) under uncultured bacterium. RNAcentral describes it as "partial 16S ribosomal RNA". It matches the Rfam family "Bacterial small subunit ribosomal RNA", at positions 524 to 776 of the family's 1533-position model. The record is from RNAcentral.
UACGGAGGGUGCAAGCGUUAUCCGGAUUUACUGGGUUUAAAGGGUGUGUAGGCGGGCUUUUAAGUCAGUGGUGAAAUCUCCGGGCUCAACCCGGAAACUGCCACUGAUACUAUUAGUCUUGAAUUUUGUUGAGGUAGGCGGAAUAAGUCAUGUAGCGGUGAAAUGCAUAGAUAUGACUUAGAACACCGAUUGCGAAGGCAGCUUGCUAAACAAAUAUUGACGCUGAGGCACGAAAGCGUGGGGAUCAAACAGG